Molecule: ribosomal RNA, 744 nt
Filed under: uncultured cyanobacterium
Lineage: Bacteria; Bacillati; Cyanobacteriota
Description: bacterial SSU rRNA
Rfam family: Bacterial small subunit ribosomal RNA
Source: RNAcentral
AGAGUUUGAUCCUGGCUCAGGAUGAACGCUGGCGGUAUGCGUAACACAUGCAAGUCGAACGGAGUAGAAAUACUUAGUGGCGGACGGGUGAGUAACGCGUGAGAAUCUGCCUUCAGGACGGAGACAACAGUUGGAAACGACUGCUAAGCCCCGAUGUACCGAAAGGGAAAAUAUUUAUAGCCUGAAGAUGAGCUCGCGUCCGAUUAGCUAGUUGGCGGAGUAAAAGCCCACCAAGGCGACGAUCGGUAGCUGGUCUGAGAGGACGAUCAGCCACACUGGGACUGAGACACGGCCCAGACUCCUACGGGAGGCAGCAGUGGGGAAUUUUCCGCAAUGGGCGAAAGCCUGACGGAGCAAGACCGCGUGGGGGAGGAAGGCUCUUGGGUCGUAAACCUCUUUUCUCAGGGAAGAACACAAUGACGGUACCUGAGGAAUAAGCAUCGGCUAACUCCGUGCCAGCAGCCGCGGUAAGACGGAGGAUGCAAGCGUUAUCCGGAAUGAUUGGGCGUAAAGCGUCCGCAGGUGGCAGUUCAAGUCUGCUGUCAAAGACCGGGGCUUAACUUCGGAAAGGCAGUGGAAACUGAACAGCUAGAGUAUGGUAGGGGCAGAGGGAAUUCCUGGUGUAGCGGUGAAAUGCGUAGAGAUCAGGAAGAACAUCGGUGGCGAAGGCGCUCUGCUGGACCAUAACUGACACUCAGGGACGAAAGCUAGGGGAGCGAAUGGGAUUAGAUACCCCCGUAGUCC